UGGGGAAUAUUGGACAAUGGGCGAAAGCCUGAUCCAGCCAUGCCGCGGGUGUGAAGAAGGUCUUCGGAUUGUAAAGCACUUUAAGUUGGGAGGAAGGGCAUUAACCUAAUACGUUAGUGUUUUGACGUUACCGACAGAAUAAGCACCGGCUAACUCUGUGCCAGCAGCCGCGGUAAUACAGAGGGUGCAAGCGUUAAUCGGAAUUACUGGGCGUAAAGCGCGCGUAGGUGGUUUGUUAAGUUGGAUGUGAAAUCCCCGGGCUCAACCUGGGAACUGCAUUCAAAACUGACUGACUAGAGUAUGGUAGAGGGUGGUGGAAUUUCCUGUGUAGCGGUGAAAUGCGUAGAUAUAGGAAGGAACACCAGUGGCGAAGGCGACCACCUGGACUAAUACUGACACUGAGGUGCGAAAGCGUGGGGAGCAAACA
This 427-nucleotide ribosomal RNA is filed under the name uncultured bacterium. Its description in RNAcentral is "partial 16S ribosomal RNA". It matches the Rfam family "Bacterial small subunit ribosomal RNA", at positions 355 to 774 of the family's 1533-position model. The record is from RNAcentral.